CACGUAGGGGACGAGCGUUGUCCGGAUUCAUUGGGCGUAAAGGGCGCGUAGGCGGUCUUGUAAGUCUUGUGUGAAAUCCCUCGGCUCAACUGAGGAACUGCACGGGAUACUGCGAGACUUGAGUUCGGGAGAGGGAAGCGGAAUUCCGGGUGUAGCGGUGAAAUGCGUAGAUAUCCGGAGGAACACCGGUGGCGAAGGCGACUACCUGGCCUGUUCUUGACGCUGAGGCGCGAAAGCUAGGGGAGCAAACGGG
This 253-nucleotide ribosomal RNA is filed under the name uncultured bacterium. RNAcentral describes it as "partial 16S ribosomal RNA". It matches the Rfam family "Bacterial small subunit ribosomal RNA", at positions 524 to 776 of the family's 1533-position model. The record is from RNAcentral.